UACGUAGGGUGCAAGCGUUGUCCGGAAUUAUUGGGCGUAAAGAGCUCGUAGGCGGCUUGUUGCGUCGACCGUGAAAACCCGUGGCUCAACUGCGGGCUUGCGGUCGAUACGGGCGGGCUAGAGUUCGGUAGGGGAGACUGGAAUUCCUGGUGUAGCGGUGAAAUGCGCAGAUAUCAGGAGGAACACCGGUGGCGAAGGCGGGUCUCUGGGCCGAUACUGACGCUGAGGAGCGAAAGCGUGGGGAGCGAACAGG
Molecule: ribosomal RNA, 253 nt
Filed under: uncultured bacterium
Lineage: Bacteria
Description: partial 16S ribosomal RNA
Rfam family: Bacterial small subunit ribosomal RNA
Source: RNAcentral